AACGAACGCUGGCGGCAGGCUUAACACAUGCAAGUCGAACGGGUGUAGCAAUACAUCAGUGGCAGACGGGUGAGUAACACGUGGGAACCUUCCUAGAGGUACGGAACAACGCAGGGAAACUUGCGCUAAUACCGUAUACGCUCUUGCGAGGAAAGAUUUAUCGCCUUUAGACGGGCCCGCGUCGGAUUAGCUAGUUGGUGGGGUAACGGCUCACCAAGGCGACGAUCCGUAGCUGAUCUGAGAGGAUGAUCAGCCACACUGGGACUGAGACACGGCCCAGACUCCUACGGGAGGCAGCAGUGGGGAAUCUUGGACAAUGGGCGCAAGCCUGAUCCAGCCAUGCCGCGUGAGUGAAGAAGGCC
This 362-nucleotide ribosomal RNA is filed under the name uncultured bacterium. RNAcentral describes it as "bacterial SSU rRNA". It matches the Rfam family "Bacterial small subunit ribosomal RNA", at positions 29 to 416 of the family's 1533-position model. The record is from RNAcentral.